RNAcentral lists this ribosomal RNA (119 nucleotides) under Vigna angularis (adzuki bean). The record is from RNAcentral. Lineage: Eukaryota; Viridiplantae; Streptophyta; Magnoliopsida; Fabales; Fabaceae.
AAGUGCGACCAUACCAGCACUAAUGCACCGGAUCCCAUCAGAACACCGCAGUCAAGCGUGCUUGGGCGAGAGUAGUACUAGGAUGGGUGACCUCCUGGGAAGUCCUCGUGUUGCACCUC